This is a long non-coding RNA of Cicer arietinum (chickpea), 2297 nucleotides long. RefSeq lists it as uncharacterized. The record is from RefSeq and is a predicted model, not a curated record. NCBI's taxonomy places the organism in Eukaryota, Viridiplantae, Streptophyta, Magnoliopsida, Fabales, Fabaceae.
UUCACUCUUUUUUCUCUAUCUCUCUCCCCCAAUUUCCCUAUCUUCAUUCUUUUCUUUUCUUCAACUUUUCACUACCGAACCGCCCACCGUCACGGUCCAUUCUCCAAAUCUCUCACCCAAAUCUUUAUUCUCCAAAUCUUCGAAGGCCAUAAGACCAAUCUCCAAACUCCUCAGUUUCCAAAACCCUAACAACCUUCUCCUCCGUACCAUCGUUUCCAAACCUGAGCUUCGGAAUCCCAAACCCGCCGCACAACCCCAGCCUGAACAGCCUCUUGUCGAUCUAUCUUCACAUACUCCCGUUGGCGGCGCCAGAGCCCAUUUCCCUAAUCCCGACGACACCACCGAAGGUUUUCGUUGAUGGAUAUCCCGGUCAAUGAUUUCAUAAGUUAUUGUGGCUGGAGAAUUUAGCACUACCAAGACACUCAAUGAGCUGAAAUUGGAAUGCAAGUUUUAAUUUUUCAUACAGUACAAAUCAGAUAAAAUGAUGCAAGCCUCCAUGGGACAAAGAACUUGGAAAGAACUUGGAAAGACGUACAUAAUUCACUACACUUAUGGUUGUGACUAUACAAUGAAGGGUGAACUGGCCUAUGGAAAUAUUGGAGAAUGGAGGUUUGAUAAAAAGAUCUUAUGAUGAUUUUGCUCCUCCAAAAAAUCUGACAUUGCCACCACCUGGUGCUCCUCCAAAAUGAUGAUUCCCUAUCAUUAAUGCAGUUGAAGACUGAGUGUGGCAGUCAGUUUACAAACAAACUUGAAGGAAUGUUUAAGGUAUAUAUCUUUGAAUUAGUUUAAAGCUUUUAGACAUUUUAAGACUUGAAUGUGCUGUUUUCGGAAGCUGUGGCAGCUUCUCUCAACUGCUCAUUAUCAUCGUUUUCGUCAUUUGAAACCAUAAAAGGAGUGAUAGAUCAUCUUGACAAUGAGGGUUUUCAAGAAGAGGAAAAUGAAGAGGUUCAUUACAACACAUUUGAGGUUAAGAUUUCUGUUUAAUAAUUUCCAUUACAGGAAUUUUGAAGAUGUUGAUGUGAUUAGUUGAUUUCUCAUAGGAUUAUGUUAAAUUUUGUUUAGAAAGAUUUUCUUUUGCUUUAAAUUCGCAUGCUUGCUUCAAUUCCUUUUUCACUCUUGGACUCUUGUGAAUCUUGUAUACUUUUGAUAGUUUUUUUUAACUUAUUUUUUGUUAUUGUGAAUUUUAAAGUCUUGGUAUUAGAAAUCUAUUUUCUUUUGGUUAAGGGAACAAGUUUUUGUUGUUAUUGUUAAAUUAGAAGUAUCUAAUUGAUCACAUAAUCCUACUAUAUAAUUUAAUUGAAUUAAAUAUAGAGAAUCAAUCAUCUAAAGCUUAACUACUUACAUUCAUUGGUUAUUGUACUUAUGUUUUCCAGUUGAUUUUAUACAAUAAAUAAUUGUUCUUAUGUUCUUCUGUUGCAGAGCUGAUAUUAUGACCGGAUGAGUCUCAUUGGUUGAUAUUAUGACUAGGUGACUCGUAAACUUUUCCUGUACAUCAAUUGACCGUAGCGUCGGCUACACCGACGCAAUCAAAUUUAUUGAUGUUGUCAUUAGCGACGGUCCCUCCGACGCUACCAAUUUUUCCCAAAUACCAAAUCAACGGAUAUAAUAUAGCGUCGGAUAUUUAUUUUUGCUUGUAGCGUCGGUUUAGAGUAGGCCUUUCCGACGUUAUUUAAGCGUCGGAUCAGACGCUGUCGAUUAGCUUCGGCCGUUUUAUCCUAGGCCUGUAGCCGACGCUAAUCGGACACUACAUCAACGUUAGCGUCGGCAUUUAGCCUAUAAACGUGGGCUUUUGACCGACGCUAAAAUCAAUUUUUCUAGUAUUGUUCAGUUUUGAUCCUCAAAAUUGAAUUUUGGUCCAAAACUUGAUGAAGUUUCAUUUUUUUAAGCCGCAUCACACCAUUUAUGAUCAUACAUUUUAGGUACAAUUGUUGCACCACGAGAUCUUGAUGCAUGAUGUGACUUAAAUAAACGCAAAAAAAAAAAUGAAACUUCAUCAAGUCUUAGACCAAAAUUCUGUUUGAGGGACCAAAACUAGAGAGAAACAAAAUGGAAGGACUACUUUUGAAAAUUCAACUAAAAUGGGGGGACCAACACUGCAAUUAAGCCAUUUAUUUUUUAGAAGAAGCCAUUCUUUAAUUUUAUGCAGAGACAAAACCAAAAAUGACAAAUAAAAGUUCACAUUGUUGAUGCCAGCCUUAUUGCAUAUGGACAAUUUGAUGAGUAAUUCCAGUGUAGUUAUAACCACAAAUACAAAUAUGAUUUAGUCACACACAAAAUAUAUAUUUAUUUAAUUUUUU